CUGGAGUAUCCCGAAAAUCCAUAAAGAGUAGGGA
This is a regulatory RNA element of Nitritalea halalkaliphila LW7, 34 nucleotides long. It matches the Rfam family "DUF805b RNA". Rfam says of the family: Bacteroidetes, Chlorobi (1 example), Proteobacteria. Lineage (Flavobacteria) The record is from Rfam. Lineage: Bacteria; Pseudomonadati; Bacteroidota; Cytophagia; Cytophagales; Cyclobacteriaceae.